GACGAACGCUGGCGGCGUGCUUAACACAUGCAAGUCGAGGGCACUUUGGGGGCAACCCUGGAGUGACCGGCGAACGGGUGCGUAACACGUGAGCGACCUUGCCUCGUGGUGGGGGAUAGCCGGCCCAACGGCCGGGUAAUACCGCAUAUGGUGCUGACUCCGCAUGGAGACGGCAGCAAAGCCCUGGAGCAAUCCAGUGGCGCCACGAGGGGGGCUCGCGGCCUAUCAGCUAGUUGGGGGGUAAUGGCCCACCAAGGCGACGACGGGUAGCUGGUCUGAGAGGAUGGCCAGCCACAUUGGGACUGGAGA
This 309-nucleotide ribosomal RNA is filed under the name uncultured bacterium. RNAcentral's name for it is "bacterial SSU rRNA". It matches the Rfam family "Bacterial small subunit ribosomal RNA", at positions 28 to 324 of the family's 1533-position model. The record is from RNAcentral.